This 266-nucleotide long non-coding RNA is filed under the name Lathyrus oleraceus (garden pea). RNAcentral describes it as "Pisum sativum (pea) long non-coding RNA (PSAT_LNC016141)". The record is from RNAcentral. Lineage: Eukaryota; Viridiplantae; Streptophyta; Magnoliopsida; Fabales; Fabaceae.
UCGGUUGUAGCAGGUUCUUGAGAACCAACGAUGGAUAAAGCUCUGCAUAUGUCAUAGGGAUUGGGUCGAAAGAGACUUUCUUCCUCUCAAAAGUUUGUUACUGAUGAUUGUUGGUAUUGUUGUUGUUGUUGUAGGUGCUUGUUCGUUGUUGUGGUUGUUGUUGUUGUUGACGCUAUUGUUAUUGAAUGGGUGUUGAUUGAUUUGUUGAGAAAACGGGAAUCACUGAAGAUACUUGAUGAUGGUGUUAAUGGGAUGGUUGACUUCUU